CUGAUCUAGCCAUGCCGCGUGAGUGAUGAAGGCCUUCGGGUUGUAAACCUCUUUCAGCUGGGAAGAUAAUGACGGUACCAGCAGACGAAGCCCCGGCUAACUCCGUGCCAGCAGCCGCGGUAAU
This 124-nucleotide ribosomal RNA is filed under the name uncultured bacterium. Its description in RNAcentral is "partial 16S ribosomal RNA". It matches the Rfam family "Bacterial small subunit ribosomal RNA", at positions 383 to 524 of the family's 1533-position model. The record is from RNAcentral.